ACUGCAGCAGCAGCAGGAAGGCCCUGGAGAAGGAAUGCUCCAGGUAUGACACCUGGCUGGGUAGAAAUCUCCACCUGGAAAUUUUAUUUUCCUUUUGUGAGUUUGUUGGGUGUUUGGACAAUAAUAGGGCUGGAGGCUGACUUGACAGUGCUGAUAGUCCCCCAGCUGGUCAGGAAGGUUGCUGGACUACGGGGGGUCACAGAACAGUUUACCUGGGGCCUAAUUUUUCAACCACUUCACUGGGCCCAGCCAGGAGGAAAAGCCCAGCUGCCUUCUCAUCUCCCACAGUCAGGAAGAGCAGGGUGUCCUGUAAAGAGAGAUGGAUCCUGCAGCAGAACAUCUCCCCCUCUUCGAGCAAUGAGACUUAGGAGUCCCAUAUAAUGUCGGGAUUUAAUGGACCUCUGUUAUAAACAGCCCUGAAUGCACAGCAGAGGGAUGCAGCUGCCAUGCUGGCUUGUGUUAUGCAGGAAUUCACACUACGUGAUCACGAUGCUCCCUUCUGGCCUUGGAAUCUGUGCGUAAGACGCUGCAGCAGCCGAGCCCCCUUCCCUGGAUCUGUGCCUUACCUGUGCAACACAAACACUCGGCCUCGGCCUGGAUUGCUUUUGAAGUUCUGUGCUGUCAAAACGGCGAGGUCUCUAAGCAAGUUCAAGUUGUUCUGCAAGGGAAGCAAAGCUCAUGUUGCAGACCCAGGAGUCAGCGCGAGAACACGGGGAUGGGGUGGAGUGGGGUCGGGGAUGGAGUUUCCUGAGACAGGUGGAGUCACAAUUUUCCCAGCUUCCAGGGUCAACACAAGGGAGAUUUGAAAACUGAAUUCUCAUUGAAUACAAUUAUUCAGGGCACUGUUGCUGUUCCCAAAGCUCAGACCCUCGCCGGAGUGACUGCUGGGCCACAGCCGUACCUUCUGAAGCAGCUUCACCGAAUUCUGCAGCCUCUUCACAGCCUCCACAUGCUCCUCUGCUCCAUUUCUGGAAAACAACAAGGCAGAGUUCGGGCUGUCAAGGCGCUGGACGGAGAGGGCUCCACCAAUGAAGCCGCUGCAGACAACAUACCACCCGAGCCAGGGGCUAGAAAUGCCCUCUUUAGGGUCACAUGCUUCUCCUCCUUGCCCAGAGAGGAACAGCAAGGACAGGGGAAACUGGGAAAGGACAUUACUUAAGCAGCGAGGUUAAUGCCUUCUCGAUGCUGUGACUUCGCUCGACAGACUUCAGUACUCUAUUGCCUGCCAGAAAGACCAAGUUGGUUUUGUUCUUUUUUCCCUUUUCUGUGCCAAGGAGCUUAAUAACCUUAAACGAGAAACAAACACCCUGAUCAGAGAGGUACAAUGGUGUGUUACACACAGCUAAAGGUCCAUUAGACCAUGUGUCAUUGUGAAUGUCGACUCUCUAUCACCAGAAUUAAACCCACUGACAUCAGCCUUCAAAUAUAGCCACAAAAUAGAUGAGACACUUUCAUUAGCCAUGUGCCAUUACGCAUUAGCCAUGUACCAUGCUGUCUAGCGUGCCUGGACCCGGUGUGCCAACAAGCCUUCUUUACCCUAAUAUCCCCCACAGCGCACCAGGCAUGCCAACUGGCAGGGAAGGGUCAUUUGUCUUAUCAAGCUGACUGUAAGGACAUCAAAACCCAGAGGCAGCUCUGGAAUUAAAUUUUCAUCUAAUUCU
Long non-coding RNA from Mauremys reevesii (Reeves's turtle), 1661 nucleotides. RefSeq lists it as uncharacterized. Lineage: Eukaryota; Metazoa; Chordata; Testudines; Geoemydidae. The record is from RefSeq and is a predicted model, not a curated record. The transcript has 2 exons.